AGCAAUGCCACUUCUGGGUAUACACCCAAAAGAACUAAAAGCAGGGACUUAAACACAUAUUUGCACACCAGUGUUCAUAGCAACAUUACAAUAGUGAGAAAAA
Molecule: non-coding RNA, 103 nt
Organism: Ceratotherium simum simum (southern white rhinoceros)
Lineage: Eukaryota; Metazoa; Chordata; Mammalia; Perissodactyla; Rhinocerotidae
Source: RefSeq, a predicted model, not a curated record